Triticum urartu is the source of this 2566-nucleotide non-coding RNA. NCBI's taxonomy places the organism in Eukaryota, Viridiplantae, Streptophyta, Magnoliopsida, Poales, Poaceae. The record is from RefSeq and is a predicted model, not a curated record.
AACUUUGGGGGUUUGAAUUUGCAAGUUGGGUUUGCCGUCCAGGGUUAGUGUUUCGGAUUGGGGAAAUAUUUUUUGGAUUUCCUUCAACAUUCAAUUCUAACUGAAUAGAUUAAAUAUCAUAAUUAUCUUAUCAGCACCGACCAUUAGCAAUUAUAGCCUUAACCGAAACAAUAAACGACUAAAACAUGAUCAAUGGCUUUAAUACUGUAUGCCACAUCUAGUGCUUAACCAUGCAAUUAUCAUAACUGAGGGUAAGGUGGAACUUAAUCAUGAUCAUCAACUGAAAGCCAGUAACGUCUGAAUGCUUUGAAGCAGUGGGGGUAGUGAUCUCGAGGCACCGGGUCAACGGCAAUGUGGCUACCCUCGUUGUCAGGCCAGAAGUCACCUGGUGGACUUAGCCCUGCACUAUAUGUCACUGCUGCUGCCAAUGUAGCUGCAACCAGCAAGAAACUAUGGUUCCGCUCCAGUUCCUCCUCUUUGUCAUGGAGAGGAGCAUCUGGAUCAUCUCUUAUGUUGUUCCUUCUGCUGAAAAUUUGUGCUAUAUAGAAUCCUCUCAGAACCUCUGGAUAUCCCUGAAAAUUUCUCGAAGCCAUCCAGGCGCUAGAUGCUGGAAGAACACUACAUUAAGUGUGACAUAUGUGAAGAUGCCAACAAGUAAUACCCAAAUGUAAACGGAUGUUCUGACCUCCCUGUAUCUCCCAGCAGCAUAGGCCCCCAUAAGUCCCAGCAGGUCAAGCAACAUCGCGAACUGCAGCGAAUGGAGCCAAAUUGCAUUCCGGCACAGCUCCCUGACCAGAAACAGGAUCAGAACAGUGACUGAUGUCAUGAAUGCCGUUGUGUUGCAGUAGAACACCUUGUACCGCUUGGUGUGGCUAAGAAACAUGACAAUGUCACUGGGAAGGUAGCUGGUUAUCUGGCCAGAGCAUUGAUUACGGGUUGAGUUACUACUCAAGACAGCAACUAGUCGAGACUAGUGGCUAGACUAGUCUAUGAGUCACACUCUGGGUGUCGACUAGAAAUCUCGUGUAGACUAGUUCGCCGAAUCGAGCAGUCGAAGGACCAGUCAUGCACCUUGAGUCGUUCGACUAAAAAAGAAUUAGGGAUUGGGAGGGGAUAAGUGAGCCACCCGCCCAGCCCGCAGCCUGUGGGAGGGAAAAUUUCAUCUCCUAGGUUUCCAGCUCGCUCUGAGCUGCCUUGCCUGGGAGUCUGGUAAGAGGCGCCACCUGCACCCAUUAUCCCACCGGCGCUGCCACCCACCACCGCCUCUCCGCCACUGCGCUCUGGCCCUUUCCCUCCAUUGCUCCUGCUCUCCCUGCAUCUGCUGGCUACUGGAUCCACUCAUCCGCCAGGUUGCAGCAAGCAAGCAAGCAUAACCCUUAGGUCUGAACUGCAAAGUCUACGCCAUUGGAGAUAUCUCCUUCAAGAAGCCAACUAGGAGCAAGGAUCCAGCAAGGAAAUAUGCUUAUUGGCCUGAUCUGACAAGCAAAGACGACAAUCAUGGACAUCCCUGACAAAAGCUCUUUGGACAUGGACAACACUACCAGUGUGUUCAGCAAUCAAAUCUUGAUGGGAACGAGCAUGGAUCCAACUUGUGCGUUCAGCAAUCAAAUCUUGAUGGGAACGAGCAUGGAUCCAACUUGUGCGCUCUCCGGAGCAACAACUCCUCCAGAUGGACUCCCUCAUGUGGAGCAUUCUAAGGUCAUCCCCAUAGACCUAUCAUCAUCUCACCAAGUGCCAAGUGGACCCAUGACACGAGCACGUGCAAGAGCUCUCAAAACCGAGGUGACAUCACUCCUCUUGCAACUCCCUUUCGAAUCAUUUGAGACAUGGCUACUACCUCAAACAAAGACAUUUUGCAUACUCAAGUACCAAGGAGUUAGCCAUGGAGAAGCUAAGGAGCAAGGAGGAUCGAAAGAGGAGGGCAUAUGCAAAGACGGAGAAGAGAAAGGGCAAGACAGCAGAAGCCCGGAUGAUCCAGACCGUCGUCCGGACGAUCCAACCCCAGCCUGGACGAUCCGGACCACGACGCGGACAAUUCGACUACAACGCCCUCGACCACAGCAGGCCUCUUCGCGAAGUCGGAUCAUUCGGACCUAGUCGGAUGUCUGGACCCCACUCCGGACAUCCGGGCCGCCGCUUGCCUCCUCGGCACGUCCGGACCAUCCAGACCAUCUCCCGGAUCAUCCGGGUCCCUGAAGCCCGGAUCGUCCGGCUCCCCUUCCGGAUCAUUCGGACCCCUGCCUGUGCGUGUGUGUUGGGCCGAGGCCAAUGUACCCUUUUGUCCCCUUAGCCUAUAUAUAUGAUUCCUCCACUUUUCUAGGGUUAGCAAUGUGAUAGCUCAUUUUGGAGAUAGAGCUUUGCUCAUCCACUUGAUACUUUCUCCUUCGGAGACCGCGACCUUUAUGGAGAAGAUCCCCCAAGUGGAUUCAAGACCCCUCACGGGAAGACCCCUCAAGACCUCCUCAUGGAGAAGAACUACCGCCUCUUGUAUCGUCCUUUGUUGCAUUUGGAUAUUUUAUCAUUCUUUAUGUUCGUGGAUCUAGCACAUGUGUGAUCGUUUCUCGUU